This 415-nucleotide ribosomal RNA is filed under the name uncultured prokaryote. RNAcentral describes it as "bacterial SSU rRNA". It matches the Rfam family "Bacterial small subunit ribosomal RNA", at positions 505 to 918 of the family's 1533-position model. The record is from RNAcentral.
GUGCCAGCAGCCGCGGUAAUACGGAGAGUGCGAACGUUGUUCGGAUUUACUGGGCUUAAAGGGCGCGUAGGCGGUUGGUUAAGUUGGAUGUGAAAUCCCUCGGCUUAACCGAGGAACGGCAUCCAAAACUGGCCGGCUUGAGUGGAGGAGGGGAGAGCGGAACUUCUGGUGUAGCGGUGAAAUGCGUAGAUAUCAGAAGGAACGCCGGUGGCGAAAGCGGCUCUCUGGCCUCCUACUGACGCUGAGGCGCGAAAGCCAGGGGAGCAAACGGGAUUAGAUACCCCGGUAGUCCUGGCCGUAAACGAUGGGCACUGGGUAGAGGAAAUUCCGAUAUUUUCUCUGCUGUAGCGAAAGCGUUAAGUGCCCCGCCUGGGGAGUACGGCCGCAAGGCUGAAACUCAAAGGAAUUGACGGGG